AAACUACUACAUCAAAGGCAGAAAAGGAAGAACAGAAUAAUGAGGCAGUGACAAUGGUGGUAUCAUCGACACCGACCAUGGUUUUCGAUGACCAUGAAAAGGAAAAAGGGAAGGGAGACAACAUCGAUGGCAAUUAAUGGAGAUGCGCAUGUCGGUUAUUCAUUCCGGCUAGUUUUUGUCACUUUUCGGCGGCCGGUGCGAUGGGUUGAUGAGAAAAAGGGCGGGAUGGUAGGAUGGUGCGGCGGCGAGGCUGGUUUGCCGAUGGAGUUUUUGCCGCCGUUGUGAUCUUAAUUUUGGCAAGAUCUAUCCGGUCGGUAGAUGGACGACGACGGGAAAAGGGAGAAGUGGGCGGUCCGACGCAGGGAAGGGCAAGAAGGAGGAUGGUCCAAUUGGUUUUGGGUAGGUGUUCGGUCAGUUUUCGGCGAGUUUUCGCUGGAAAAUUUAUAAACUAUGAAUCUUAUUAUAUUUUUUUUCGAUCACUCUUUCUCAACCUCCCUUCUUUUCAUCCCUUUUCUCCUUUUUCCUCUCACUGGUUUCAUUUUGGUUAUGUGUGAAUGAAUAUAUUGUACUGCUA
RNAcentral lists this long non-coding RNA (574 nucleotides) under Capsicum annuum. RNAcentral's name for it is "long non-coding RNA (CANN_LNC020494)". Lineage: Eukaryota; Viridiplantae; Streptophyta; Magnoliopsida; Solanales; Solanaceae. The record is from RNAcentral.